UUUGUGUUUGUUUUGUUCCCACUGAAGGAAAACAAUAUAAAAGGAGAGCAAGAGAUAACACAGAAAGUAAAGUAGAAAGAAAGAGAAUGUCCAAAUUUAUCUCACGUUUUAUCAUUUGGCAUCUGGAGUUUGAUGUCUCGGUGGAGGCAGUGGAGGCUUCGUUGAUGGAGCAUCGAUUCUGGUGCAAGAAAUUUAGCUAAUAAAGGUCGCAAUAUCUAUCGGCUGAACAACUUGUGUCUGAUCUAAGCAAUCCCAAUCUUCAUGAAAUGCUCCCCUAGAACUUCCUAAGCUUUAUCAAUUUUUCUCUCUUUCACAGGUUUACAUUGAUAUUUCAAUUUUUUUUUUCAUUAUUAUUAUUUAUAUCGACUUCUUGGGCAAUAUUUUGUACACUUGAAUUGUGAAAUUCCGUCCAAAAGUGUAGGCCUUGGUUUUUUCAUGUAGUUGAAUUAUCUAAAAAAAUGAGAUGGAAAAAUUUAGAUGCUUUUUGUGACUAGUUGGAGAAAAAAGAGGUUCAACAUUUUAUUUUCAGAUUUCUUCUGUAUUGUUGUAUCAUUUCAUUAUUUCCAUCGAUUAGUCGGGGAUGAUUUUCUAUAAUUCAGCUUUGGAUUACCGUAAAGUUUGAUCUAAACUCAAAUUAUUCAGAACUGUACAGUAAUCCUGAAUGGAGUUACACAAAACCAUACCUGAUGAGUCUAUAGAAUAAAUAUAUAGAUACCAGUUCAAAUGAAACAUGAAAAUAAACUGUUGAAGUGAGAAGAAUAACCAUGGAAGAUUCUAGAAGAGUAAUUAAUGAAGAUUAGUAUUUUAGAGAUCAAGCACAAGAGGAAAAUUUUCCAGGAUUUGGCACCGAUGUUGUGAGAUUCAUUUGAUACUCCUGUUACACUCAUACAGGUAUUUUUAAGAAGUGCUUCUUUAUAAUUCUAGACUUUUUCUCGUCUGUCAGAUGCCAAUUUCUUAAGUUAGUGAUUACUGAUUACAUAUGCCGCACACUGCACCAUUAAUAAUGAUGAAUGAAAGGAAUCAUCUGAUUGACCUUUUAUAGAAAAUCUGUCAUGGGAACAUCUUAAUUGCCUUUUGAUUGAGGUUAUUGAGCAAUUCAAAAUGGUUAAAAUUGACAAAUUGAUUGUAGAGUCCUAUAAUUAGUUUUUCCUGAACAUUUUUGUUGAGUCUUAGGAUGAUAAAAUAUUUUUUAUGAAGUUAUAGAGAAAACAUCUUAUAUCCAUCUAUAUUUGCAUAUUUAAUUAAUGAAACCAAUUUUAAAUAGGUGGUUGCAUGAUUUGUCCUUGACGGAGAGAGCAAGGGAGAACUAGAAAAGAUAAUGAAGAUGGUGUACUCGACAAUCUACAGAAAAAAUUCCAUUGACCCAUUAACAUUUUGGAGCAGUUGUUGUAGCCACCUCGUUGUCAUUAAAUCCUCCUUGUAUACACAUGAAAAAACCACACAUGGUCAGCAAAAAUAACAAGGGACUAAUUUCGUGGAAUGCUUUGUGAUCACUAAUUGAGAAUCCCGUGAGAGAGGAGUUGGGAGAAGCCUUAUGGACAAGAAAAAUACAACAUAUAUGUGAAUCUUAUAGAGGAUAGAUUUUUGGAAGAGAUAGAUAAUAAUGCACGUCUACCUAUAUAAACUAACAAGAGAAGGUAUUACAGUGGACAUUUUUGAAAUGGCUGGAGAAGGCAGUGAGGGAUUUGCUAUUGUUUGUUGCGAUAUGCAUGUUCUCCGAUCCAUCUUUUCCUUUUCACCAUUGAGGGUUGAGAUGAGAGGACCUUCUAGUCCUUCGGCUCUCACCUCAACCCUCAAUGGUGAAAACGAAAAGAUGAAUAGGAGUGUAAAUAUAUCACGAAAAACAAAAGCAUAUCCCUCACUGCCUUCUCCAGUCAUUUCUAAUAGGCCCACUGUGACGCUUUACCUAGUCAGUGUAUAGAGGUAGAUCUGCAGUAUUAUCCAUCUCAUCCAAAGAGAUAUGCUCUGUAAAAUUUCCCUCUACGUUGUGAUUUGCUAGUCACUAUGACUUCACACUCCUCCCUCCCAGGCUUUUCUAUUAGUGAUCAUGAAGCAUUCCUAUUCCGGCAUUUGGCCCUCAUUAGAUUUUUUCUAAUCAUGUGCGCAUUUUUCACAUGUAUUUCAAGGAGGAUCAAACAAUCAUGAUGUGGCUGCAGCAAUUGACCCGUAAUGUUAAUGGUAUUAUUUAUACUGAUUUUAAUACAUGAAUAAUUUAUUUCUUCACCCGUAAGUACUUUAAUUUCUUUUUGUCCUCUCAUUUAUUUGUGGUAUUUUUAAUUUGGGGUUAAGCUAGGGGUGGGGGCAGGGGAGGGAGAGAUUUUGAUCUCUGUUUGAGUUUUUUUUAUAUUGGUAAUAUAAUGAUCUUUUUAUAUUGCUAUAAUAGUUUAACUAAGGAGACCAUAAAGGUCUUCCAAAAGCAUUUUGCAAGAUUCUUUGUGGGUUCAAUGGGUGACAAAGCUAAACAACAUUGGAGAUCCUAAGGAUGAAGAAGGAAUAGACAACGGACAUGAGUGAUAUCAUCAAUACUCUUCUCAUUAAAAGAUUGUGGAGAUUUUGAGCUCAAACUUCUUUAUGGGAAGACUUUUCGAAAGUUAAAUAUUGUUUUAGAUCUCAUCCCACUUCGAAAAUGUUUUUUUCUGGUAACUCUCACACAUGGAAAUUUCUUUUGGCUGCUAGAGAUAAAGCUCAACACAAUACCAUUUGUCAAAUCAAUGUUUGAGAUUGUAGUUUCUUGUGGGACAACUGGUUCACCAGAGGUGCCCUUGUGAGCUUAAUCUCAGAGCCCAAGUCAAGGAUUUCCUAGUCAUGAACAACUUGAAUAUUGAUAAACUCAGAGAGUUGUUUCCAGAAUUCACUGUCCAGAAAAAAUUGGCAAGCCAUUCUGAUACUCUUUGGUGUCUCACUUCAGCUUCGAACUUGAUCAGACAAGCCAAGGAAAGGAAUUCGAAGUAAGUCAGGUUGGGAAAUAUUGUGCCAUUUUGGAAUUACACAUAACUCUUGACACCUAUAAGAAUCAUGAGAACCUGGAGGAACAUGAGAGACUAUAACAUUGUGCACAAAUUCAACCUUCAGAUUCUUCCUAUAUUUGUAUUAAUUGUGAGAUAUGGAAAAUUAAGGCAUCAUAGUGAAUAUGGAGCUCAAAAAGUGUUCUAGACAAGGAAAAUAGAGAAUCGCAUUCUCUGGAACAUCUCUGCUGUUUUGAGUAGCAGUUGGCCACGGUUCUGUCAAAUAUUGCAAAGACUCGGACCUGUUGUCAUCUGUAAACAAAUGCAAUGCCUGUCAAGGGCAGGAAGUGGAGGGGUUGAGUGGAAUGUGUCUAGAUAGCUAUUUAUGGCAUUCUCUGUUCCUGUCAAGUGCCACAUCAACAAUCAGGCUGAAGCUAUGGCUCCUAAGUAUGGAAUUGAUUGGUGCAGAAAAUCACAACAUCAACAAUGUAGAUGUGGAUCUAGACUCGAUGAUUAUUACUGACGUGAUCAGGAAACAGAAUACGGGCAAUAUGACGCUUAACAAAAUCAUCUAUUAUAUUCUUCGCAGGUUCAAGGACAAAGAUAUCCAAGUCCAACAUUGUUACAUGGAGGCUAAUCAGGUUAAGAUGCGUGCUGUGAUCGCGCAGAUGGAUUUGGGCAAUGCUCUAUUAAGGUUCGAUAAGAUUCUCUCAUUAUGGACGAACAAGGAAAAAUAGCAUAAGGAUCAAAAGGCUCUGUCACAAAUCAAUAUUUAUUUAUCCAAUCAGAUUCUACAAGAUAUUUUAAAGAAGACUACCGCCUUUACGUCGUGGUUGAAACUGGAAUCGUUAUUUAUGAUGAAGAGACUAAAAAGUAAUUUGUGUCUCAAACAACAUCUUUAUUCCUAUUGCGUAUAUGAGGGUUCGUCUUUGGAGGAUCAGUUAUCUGUGUUUAAUGAAAUUGUCUUUGAUUUAGAGACUCUGGAGGUUAUGUACGAUGAGGAAAAUCUUGGUUUGAUUUUAUUGUGCUAUGUACCUACAUCAUUCACGAACUUUAGGAAUACAAUUUUAUAUAGUCAUGAUACCUUGACCAUAUAUGUAGUCUAUGAUGUGUUUUUCUCUAAGGAGAAGAUGAAGCAUCUUAUGAAUUGGUCGAAGUCUCAAGAUGAUGGUCUCAUUAUUCGAUGAAAGACUCAUUAGAGGAACUCUAGGAGUGAUGAUAGAAAUAGGUCAAAAUCCAGUAAUAGAACCGAACCUUUAAUAAUUGUAACAAGAAGGUCAAUAUCAUAUCUGAGAGUUAUAAGUUAUAGAAUAGAGAGAGAAAAAAUCUCCAACACUAAAGGGAAACCAACUAGAGAAGUCCGGUGAAACCAGUUUUCUUGAAGAUGGCUACAGUGAAGGAGAACUCUUGGUAGUUCCUGAUGGUAUGUAAAAAUCCUAUGAGGACUGAAUUCUUGAUUCAGCUUGCACAUUUCAUAUGUGUCACAAUCAGGAUUGGUUUACAAUAUAUGAAAUAGUCUCUAAAGGUGAUGGGUUAAUGGGAAAUAACACUCCUUGUAAGAUAGCUGGUAUUUGAACAAUAAGAAUUAAGAUAUUUAAUGGGGUUUUGAGGAGACUUGGUGAUGUGCGGUAUGUCCCAGACCUGAAGAGAAAUCUUAUUUCCUUGAGUACCCUUAAUUCGAAUAGAUAUAGGUACACUGGUGAAGUUGGAGUCCAGAAGGUUACUGGAGGUGCUCUUGUUUUGAUGAAGGGACAGAUGAAGAUUACAAAUUUGUAUGUCUCGCAAGGCUCUAUGGUUACAGGAGAGGUCUACUUGAUGGCCAGAGUAUUACUAAAUUGGAGUUCUAUGAGCACUGUAUUUUUGGGAAGCAGAAAAGAGUCAGAUUCACUAAAAACAUCCACUCAACUAAAGACACACUUGAUUAUAUUCAUUCUAAUCUCUGGGGUCCUUUUAGAGGAGGUGUUAAUUACAUGAUGAAUAUUUUUUAUGACUAUUCCAGAAAAGUUUGGGUGUUCUUCUUGAAGCAAAAGAAUGAUGUAUUUCCUACUUUCAAGGAGUGGAAGACUAUGAUUUAAAAGCAAAUAGGAAAGUAGGUAAAACGUAGAGUUUUGUUCUAAUGAAUUUAAUUUUUAGUGCAAGUCAGAAGGAAUUAUAAGGCACUUAAUAGUUCAUCAUAAUUCGCUGUAAAAUAAAGUGGUUGAAUGAAUGAAUAGGAGUAUAAUGGAGAAGGCGUGGUGUGUGCUCUCUAAU
This is a long non-coding RNA of Capsicum annuum, 5195 nucleotides long. RefSeq lists it as uncharacterized. NCBI's taxonomy places the organism in Eukaryota, Viridiplantae, Streptophyta, Magnoliopsida, Solanales, Solanaceae. The record is from RefSeq and is a predicted model, not a curated record. The transcript has 4 exons.